Molecule: non-coding RNA, 4535 nt
Organism: Equus caballus (horse)
Lineage: Eukaryota; Metazoa; Chordata; Mammalia; Perissodactyla; Equidae
Source: RefSeq, a predicted model, not a curated record
GAGUACAGGUAGGACCUGCAUGGAAUUGGAGGGAAGGAGGGUCCCAUGUGAGCAAGGACCCAGGACCAGCCCCUGCCCCACUCCUCACCCCCUGAAGACCCUGCAGCCUCUCCAGCAGGCUGUGUCUGCAUCCUCUCCUCCCUGUGGUCCCAGGAGCACAAAGUGAUGAUGGAGAUCGUGCAGCUCCAGGAGGCUGCAGAGAAUUACAACCUAGAGCCCCAGGAGCGAUUCAGGACCUGGUUCUGGGACAUGGAGCAGCUCAGUGAGGAAGAGAGCUUCAGCCUGUCCUGCCAGCUGGAGCCCCGAUCCUAGUUGGCCAGCAAAUCUCUCCAGCCCCAGAGAGCACGGCCAUCAUGAAGCUGAGGAGGGAGUGAGUGUCCCAUGGCCGUAUGACCUCUUCCUUGGCAGCGGGGACCCAGCUGCGGCACUCGGGGUGCACGGGCCCCACCGCCUGCCACCCCUUCCCCGAGGACAGUUUCCAUCUCUGUAGGGGUGAGAAUCACUUCUUGUAAAUAGUUCAUGCCAGAUUUGCACACUGUUGUAUUAAAGUCCUGUUUCUCUUACAGCCUGGGAGUGGUGGUUCUUUCACAUUCUGUGCUAAUUUAAACGCUGUCCAGACUCUCAGAUUCCUCACUGGAUUAAGACCUAUUUCAGUCAUCCCAUUAUUGUGUGUGGGAGAGGGGGGAAGGUGCAGCCCCUCCCUUGCUGCUGAAGGAGACCCCAAGGGCCCCUUCUCAGAGGACAGGUCCGUGUCAGCAUCGUGAAGCUGGGCCAGGAGCAGAGACAGCCCCUCAGAUCCCUGAGAUGGGAGGUCGAGGUGUUUUCUCAGGCCGAGCAUCCACCACGGAAAUGAGGGGGUCCCUAGAGCCACCACUUGCCAGGCCCACUCUGUGCCCCAGGAGUGGGGUUGCCCGUCCACACUCUGGAGGGAGAGGAAACAUUUCCUGCGUCUCUUGUGGAGGUCUCUCUGGACAACGUGUUUGGGAACUUGUAGUUUCCUAGUUCAGCCUCUGGAAACGCAUCAGCUCUAAGUGGGGAAAACAGGCAGAGAUCAAACUGUGCGUGUGGAGAGGACAAGGCCAGGGGAAGGUCAUUUGUGCAGGGACUUCGGGCAGGCAGGACUUGCCCUCCUCAGUGUCCCUUGGGGUCCGUGCUCACCCUUUCCCUGGACGGGACUCCUGCUGGGACCGUGUCCCUGGCUCCAGAGUCCUCUCCCUGCUCGUCUCCUCUCCAGGGGAAGAUUUGUGGUGCAGCCCGCCAGGCUGCAGCUGGGGCCCGUUGCCGACACUCUCCUGCUCCCUGGGACCCAGGACCCCCAGCCCCUCCGCUUCCUCCUUUACUCUUGUCAAGUCAGAAGUCCCCUCAAGGCCCCCCAUCCCUCAGGUGCCUCAAGGCCACUCCUCCCUGCUGGGCCUGAUGGAUCCUGGUGAGCUGUGAUUUGCAGGCUAACAGGCCAUAAUCCUGGCUAGUGAGUGCACUUACACUCUCCCUUGCUGUCCAGAGUGACUUCUGGGCCACAUGGUUCUGAGGUCCAUGGUCUCACACAAGUGCCUGUUUACACACUCAGCUGUGUUGUUUCCAGCUCAUCCUAAGGGGCAGCUGGCCCAGCCCCUACGGCGUGCAGCCCCUGGACGCCUGUGCUCUUUUCCACAGUUAAGCUGUGACUGUGUCCCGGGGUUGUGAGCCUUUCCUGUUGGGAGCAUUGAAAGCUGAGACAUGAGAGGAGCGUGGGUGGGGGUGCAGCGGAGAUGCCCCCAACGUGAUGACCUCUGGACAUGCGUGGACAUGUGAAAAUGCCUUACCAGUUAAAAUACUGAAAUGCUUCCCAUGUGGGCGUAAACAGACAGCGCCCUGAGUUCAGCCCAAGGACCCACCCACUGACCAGGAGCUAAAGGGUUACCACCUGAUGCUUUGAACGUUAGCCCUGAAAAAUCUUGUAAGACAAGGGCCAGAGGAAGAGCUUGGCACUGCCUGAUGGCCGCAAGUGUCACCCAGCUCCCUGCAGGCUGGACUCUGCCAGGGCACCUUCUCAGGACAGCCAACCGCUGAGGAUAAACGCUGCUUCCCAGCAGCCCAGGCCCUUCCUGACACGGCACAGCCAUCCAGGAAAGAGAGUUGCCAACGGAGGAAUGGCUGUCCUUCCGCUCCAAAGGGAAGCAGAAGUGCCAGGUGCCAGGGCUGGUCCAGCACCGGGAUGAAGGCACGGGUGUCCGAAGGGUUUCUCCUGCAGGACUGUGGGGCUCCUGCGAGGCCAGCCUGCAUGGAGCGACCUUUAACAUGUUCCAUGCGCAUCGUGCGGCAGCGGGGGACAGCGCAUUGCAUCCUUGGGCAUCCAUUGGCCAAAAGUGCUGACAGUCCCCCGGAGAGACCCAUGUUUGCAGUGAGGGACCCCUAACAUGCUAUUGUUUUCUUUUUCAUUCUCAGCUUCAAAAUAUCUGUUUGGUUCUUUUUUGUGUUUUUUCGUGUUUCUUGUUUCUGAACUUUUCAUUUUGUCCUGCUCUUGCUUUCCUCAUUUCACUAAGCGGUUGGCUGUGUGCUCUUGUAGCUCUCUGUGCUGCUUCAGAAUGAUUCUUUUGAUCCCUUCUUCUACAGUAUUCCCAGGACGCUGCUUUUCAUUGUGUGUCCUCCACAUGGCUCCACGUUGGAGCCGGUCAACUGAGCAGACUGUUAAGCUCUCUGUCCCCCCGUGAGACACACACUGAACAGAGAACCUCUGCCGAGUGGGGCCCUACCACUGCGUUCCACUUAAACCUACUGUACGUUCCUUCCAGCGUUCUCCCAACCCUGCCUAUUCCGGUUCUUCACAGUGUUGCCAGGUUCCCGUCUGUGUCCCAGGAAUUGGACCAGUUCUUCUGGAGUGCAGCGCAGUUCCUCGGGGGGCCCAGUUUGCGCCUCACCCUUUGGGACCAGCUGGGAGUCAGGUUCACCUGGAUGGAGUCUUGGUCUGCAAGCCAAGGAGGCUGCUGGGCGUAGUCCUGAGGAGGAGCGGUGUCUUGCCAGGCAGUGCCCUCAGGGAGCCUCAGGAGGAGCCGAGUGAUCUCCUCAGACAGGAGGAGGAGGGCGCUGCUUCUAUGGACAAAGAGACGCUGCACAUCUGUGGAGCCUGAAGCCCAGCUCACCCAGGAAUGGCCUGUUGUCCCCGUUCCACCCUCAAGACCCCACUCCUAAAUCUACGCCAUCACUUUCACUGCUGUGUGGACGGGAAUUCCAUUUGGGCUGUGAUUCAGCCACUUGCAGGCAGACUCUGGGUUAGGUUUUCCGAAAUCUCAGCUCUGAAGCUACAGGAAAUAAGUGUUUAUUUCAGGGAAGAAGGAGAUGCUUCAGGUCCAUUACAUGGUGCUGGAGCUGCGAAUUGGACACCUGGACUCAUCUUCUUUCUUUCCUCACAUAAUCAGUGCAGUAGGAGCAGUAGUAAUUUCAUUACAUUAGUUAGUCCGAAAUGAUCUAAAGUAUCAAAUUCACGGCCACCCAGAACCUUGCCUUUUAUAAAUAUUUGAUUAGGAUUACACAAUGGUGAUACUUCGUAUAUCUCUAUUGCCAGAAAUUGCCAUGGACCAUUAGCUUCCUCUGAACACUGGAAAUAGGGCUGCUAGAAUGUUUCAUCAAAUUAGAGAGCCAAUUACAGAAACCCAGAACCAUUUUAGAAACACAUCUUUAAUAUUCUAUUCCUCUAGAACCAUCCUUGGCACCAAAAUCUGUAUUAGAGCUCUCCAGAGAACAGGAACAUAUAUGUAUAACAUGAACAUACACAUGUAUGAACAUACAUAGAGCCACGCCUCUCUUAACGACGGGGACGGGAUCUCAGAAAUGCAUCAUUAGGCAAUUUUGUCCUUGUGCAAACAGCACAGAGUGCACUUAGACAACCCUAGAUGGUGUGACCUACCGCACACCAAGGCUGUGUGGUACUAGUCUUAUGGGACCACCAUCGUAUUUGCAGCCCGUCACUGACCAAACGGUCACAUGCAGCGCAUGACUGUACAUGCAUGUGUAUGCAUACGUGCACACACGGACACACAGCGAGAGGUUUAUCUCACGGAGUUACUCUUGUGGGUGUGGGAGCUGGCAAGUUUGAAACGACGGGAAGGUCAGCAGACUAGAAACUCAGCAAGAUUUUAAGCUGCGACCUGAGGCCUAAUUUCUUCUUCACCAGGAAACCUAAUUUUCCCUCUAUGGGUUUCAACUGAGUAACUGACACGCCCCCACGGUUUAAAGGGUGAUACAGGCCUAUUUCAUUUGAUUGUGCUUCCCAGAUGUUGCGUCUUUUACAAGUUGAAGGUUUGUGGCAACCUUGUGUUGGACAAGUCUACUGGUGCCGUUUCUACAACAGUGUGUGUUCAGUUUGUGUCUCUGGGUCACAUCUUGGUAACUCUCACAGUAUUUCAAACUUUUUCCUUACUAUUCUGUUUGUCUUGGUGAUCUGUGCUCAGUGAUCGCUGAUGUUACUAUUGUAAUUGUUCUGGGGCUCCACGAAAUGCGUCCAUAUAAGACAGCAAACAAUCAAUAAAUGUUGUGUGUGUCCCCACUGCUCCACCGAC